GUGAAACCGCAUGCAGGUAAGCGGGUGGCGUCAAGCUGCUAGCCCAGAGAAUUCAGCCGGCUAGGGUGUUUGUGUGCGCUCGGUGCACCUAUUGACCGGAGUAAGAUGUAGUAGUCCACUGGUAGACGGUGGUCCUUUUGGUUGCGUUCUCGUAGCGUGGCUAGGAGGGGAUGCGUGCCGGAUGGGUGCCGGAGCAUACUACUCGUCCGUAGGGUCGUCUAACCGGUGCAUUUUCUCUGUGGCGAACACCACGACCGAUGGGAUUGUUGGUCUGCUGCGGUCAAGUCGUAUCCAAUUGGUGUCACUUGGCAUCAAUAGGGUGCGGCCACAGUCGAGAUGUGUAGACGGCGUUGGGGUGUUUCGGCACUUUAGCGUGUUAUCGUCUGCAGCUCGAAAACGGGCCUGCCUAGUGAUUAUUGUGGCCUUGAUCACUUGGUGGUUCGGUGGGCCGUGGUGGUGUUGAUAACCAUACAAGGCAUCGGGGUCAGCGACCUCAUGUAAUAGCAUCAUGCAUCAGGGCGCAAGUCACGAGCGUCGUGUUUGCCGAAGGGUGCACUAUGGUAGUCUGCUUGCAGUCUGGUUCUGAUUGUCGUGUUGCCUGCGCAAAGUAGGUCCGGCAAUGGUCAGCUGUAAGGUGGGCUGCUAAUGCUGGUGUACUCCGUGAUGUGGUGCUGGGGGUCAUAAAGUCAGUGGUGCU
RNAcentral lists this ribosomal RNA (697 nucleotides) under Tetrabothrius lutzi. RNAcentral's name for it is "partial large subunit ribosomal RNA". The record is from RNAcentral. Lineage: Eukaryota; Metazoa; Platyhelminthes; Cestoda; Tetrabothriidea; Tetrabothriidae.